UACGAAGGGGGCUAGCGUUGUUCGGAAUUACUGGGCGUAAAGCGCACGUAGGCGGAUAUUUAAGUCAGGGGUGAAAUCCCGGGGCUCAACCCCGGAACUGCCUUCGAUACUGGGUAUCUUGAGUUCGGAAGAGGUGAGUGGAAUUGCGAGUGUAGAGGUGAAAUUCGUAGAUAUUCGCAGGAACACCAGUGGCGAAGGCGGCUCACUGGUCCGAUACUGACGCUGAGGUGCGAAAGCGUGGGGAGCAAACAGG
Molecule: ribosomal RNA, 253 nt
Filed under: uncultured bacterium
Lineage: Bacteria
Description: partial 16S ribosomal RNA
Rfam family: Bacterial small subunit ribosomal RNA
Source: RNAcentral